UUGCUUGGUAAGGAGUGCCAAACAUAUCUUAGACUCAUUAUACCUGCACAAUUACUUAAAAUUGUAAAAGAUAUUUAUACAAUCAAGUCACAUCAAUCACAAAUAAAUCACUAUACUAAAAUUAUUUCGUUACCUAGUACUGGCAAGUGGAAGUUGAGAGAGUGGUAAUAUGAAAGGGAAGCAAUAUUGCAUUCUUCUCUAAAACAAGUGAUUGCAGAGUACAAAUUACAGUUCUAGAUUUCAGAUUAUUGCAGAUUAAAGAUUACAAUUGCAGAUUGCAGGUUCCAGAUUCCUCCCAGCAGAUAAUCAUUAUUCAGAUUUCAUGAAAGUCUAGUUAAUAUGAAAGGGAAGCAAUAUUUUGUCUGAAUGACAGUUAGAAAUUCAAUGUUGUGCAGUCUAAUGCCCAACGGUCACAGACAAAUCAGUGGAAAGACAAGAUUUUCCCUGCGAAAAUGGGGCAUAAAGGCCCUCACAACAUCGCUCAAGCAAAGAAAUUCACGGUAGCCAUCUCCAUCCACAGGUUUUACGGGAUCCAUCUCAUCCUACAAAUAUUUUAAUUCCCAGUUUGAAGAUUACGAAGAAAGCAACCGUAGUGGAAGAACAAUGAUAUCAAUUUCAGGACUCUUUGUGUGGACUUUGCAGCUCAACAAGUGUUUUAUGUCGAUCAUCCUAUGGAAAUGGAGUGGCAAAUGGUUGUUAAAGUAAAGACAAGAGGUUUAUGAUUAAGGUGAUGACACAACAACAAUUGAUCAUAAGGAAAGACAUAUGGAGUUGUGGCCUGAAUAGCAAUUGGAUGACACAACAUUUGAAACUGAAGAAGACAUUGAAUGAGUUAGAGAAGGAGUACCAGGAUUAGAAAUCGACCCAGAAACUUUGUUAUUUGGAAGGAUUCAUAGCUGCUAAGGAACAUCGUUGAAAUGACAAGAAAAAGACAGAGAAAUUCUAGUCAAGAUUCUGAGCAGCAAAAACAACAAAUCGGAAGUAUGCCAAUGCCUCAACCGCCCCAAAAUUGGCCACAAAAUGAAAGAGAUGAAUCCUAUGAUGCAAAAAAUCUUCGAGAUUUUGAGAAACAAAAACAACAAAUCGGAAGUAUGUCAAUGCCUCAACGCCCAAAAAUUGGCCACAAAAUGAAACAGUUGAAUCACAUGAUAAAAAAAAUCUUCUAGAUUCUAAUGAGAGUGAAGAGCAGUCUAAGCAAACUAGGGGUCCCACUAUGAUGCACUCGGGAUGGGGGAAACACGGUGGAAAUUUACAUAUUGAAUUGAAUGAACAUGGUCAAGUUAUUGGGUCAGAAGGAAAUAGGAUGAGUUCAAAACAUGGUGUGCUAGCACGAAAUGACAUCUUAGCGUCACUGAAUUAUAAAGAUUGGAGGCUUGUACCUAUUAUGUACAAGGAUAGAAUAUGGGCUCAUAUCAAGGUUCUUAGAUACACAAAACCUAUAUACUAAGAUGUUUCUAUUUUUAUAUUUAAUUUUAUAAAUGAAUUGUGUAUUAAAUAUAUGUACUGGAAAAUACUAACGCAACUGAUGACAUGAAGCGCAUACUGAUGAUGUCAUUUGGAUCUAAAUAGAAAGAAUUAAAGCAUGAAGCAAAAAACAUUGGAUAUGCCCCAUAUAACAAUGAUAUUGAGCGUUUAGCUCAUCGUCCAGAUAGAGUUGAAGAACAUCAGUGGCGUUCAUUAGUUUAUUAUUGGAGAUCAAAAGAAGCAAAGGUAUGUGCUAGGUUUCUACUUAUGCAUUUGCUCUACUAAAUGAGAAUUUCAUACAGGUUAUCAUAAAUUAUUAAUGUCGUGUUUUCCCUGAUUAUACUUCUUAUUGUAGAACAGUUAGAAGUUCUUUCUGAUUUGUCCCUUUCUUCUAAUUGGCUGAAAUAAUGUUGUUGUACAUUCCCAGUUUGCCAACCUGCACAAAAUGUUCUUGUAUAGAGAUUGAUUGCACUUUGGCAAACUCAACUAUGCUGUUUUUUUAUAUUUUUUUCUUGGAUAUUUCUUUUAUAUAUUCAAGAUUGCACAUGUACUCUUAUAUAUUACUAGUUAAAAUACCCUCGCUUUGCGCGGGAGUUUAAUAUUACAAAAUUUGUAAAAUAAUACUUCAACUAUAUCGGUCAUUAAACCUAAAACUCUAUAUUCUCUUACGCACAAGAUUAUGUAGUAAGAACCAUUAACGAUGUAAAGGAACAUAAAUAAUUAUUGCAUCUUAUCAUUUAUCCUUAAUAAUAUAAGCAUAAACUAAUGACUGUAAAAAUACAUACCAGGAACUGUAAGAUAAGCAAUGAUGCCUGUUAGCCACUCAACAGGAGCAAGGUACAUAAAUAUUUAAUUAUGAAGAAGAAGAGGUUUAGAAUUUUCAUUUUUCUAAAAUGGGAUGAAAACUCUCUACUUAUUGUGUGAAUAAAGGAUAGUGUUGAAGAAUAUUUAUUGUGCCUUAUCGGAAAUAUUACAACUAAUUGAAAAAGUUACAACGCUUCGGUAAUGUCUCAACCUUUCAGAAUAGUCACAACUUUUCAUAAAAGUCGCAACUCUUCAUUAAAGUCGCAACUCUUCAUUAAAGUUGCAACUCUUCAUUAAAGUCGCAAGUUUUCAUAAAAGUCGCAACUGUUUAAAAAAGUCACAACUCUUUAAAAGAGAAUGCUUGUUUGUGGUGGCGCCACGUAGACCUGCCUAAGGUUCUAUUUUAUAUAAUUAUAUGAUUGUUUUUAAAUUUCUAGGAAAAGAGUGAGAGAAACAAAGAAAGUCAAAAAAAUUGACUAUGCCACACACAUCAGGGAGAAAAAGUCAUCUUCAAAUUAUACACGAUAUGAAUAAUGGUGUAAAGACAACUCGUAUUGAGGUAUUCAACUCACAUUAGAGCGAAUGAAGAACCAGGUAAUGAGAUAGGUGGUGAAGUUAUGGUAAGCUCUUACUCUUUAAAAAUAUAUCGGUACUUUCUUUUUAUUACAAUUUUUUAAGAAAACUUCUCAUUACUUUACCUUUCUUUCAAAAAGAAACAAAUGGAUGAUCUUGCCGAGGUGUAUCCUGAGUUUAACGUCCCUGGAAGUGCUCCUAAUGAUAUGUACUACCAUGUAAUGGAUCAGACACUCAUAGAAUUGUUCGUACUCUAGGAAAUGGAGCAUCUCCUAUCUUAGUAUAUGGCCCCGUAUAUAAACGAUUUUAGGCUGAAAAACGAGAUUUUGAUGCAAGAGUUGAGAUAGAAGUUCAAAAAGCUACCUCAGCUAUGAAAAUUCAGAUGAUCGAGAAGAUGUAUGAAGCAAAAAAAGAGAUGGAAUCGAUGGAUAAAAAGUUGUUAGAGGCGAAAGAGGAAGCAAAAGAGAUUAACGAAGCGAUGGAGAGAAAAUUAUCAGAAGCAAAAAGGGAUAUGGAAGAAAUUAUAGCGGAUAAAGUGAAGGAAUGAAAUACAAGCAUAUCUAGAGUCUUUUGUGAAUUAAUAUUGAUGCAAUUUUAAAUCAAAGAAGGUGAAAUAAUUGUGUUGCCCACCAAAAAAGUACCUUUUUAGAUGAAAAGAUAGUUUCUCUUAAUUAUAAUAGCCUUCCUCUUUUGCAAUAUGUUCCUGAUAACCAACAUAAAGAUUGUCAACAACAUCAUCACUUGUUCCAGGUGUUCACACAAGAGAGGUUAGAGAAAAUUCAGUAAAAUUCUAAAUUUUAUUUUAAUUUGCGUAAGUCCUGACAUUUAUAUGAUCACAAGAUCAACUAAUUCCUCUUUCUUGUUUAAUAUGGAUUAAUCGACAAACAUGUUACUUUUGAUCAUGUAAUAGUCUUUAGUUGGAUUUGGAGUUGUAGUUUUAGAAUUUGCUCAUAUUGCUUUUGAUAAGCUAAUUGUUUGAUUCUACUCUGUUUUAGCCCUCUGUUUCUGCCUUACGGAAUGGUAAGUUGCAUUGAGUACAUUACAGUGAUGUUAUGGUUUGAUGUGUGGCUUAUUGUGUGUUAUGAUGGAAACUAGUGUUUCCUGCUUUGUUUUUCCUUUGAGUUUCAUUGGUAUGUUGAAAAAUGUUGAAUUUGAUAAGUUUUUACUUGAACUUAAUAUGGGCUACAAAAAAUUCAUUAUCUCAUAAUCUAGAUUGUCUUUUUUUACAAGGUAAAGGUUUAUUGACUAAAGUACCAAUAAGCUACCAAAAGCAAAAGUUGAUUACUCUUUCCACUUCUUCAACAGUGAAAGGCCUCUCCAACCACUCACUAUCUUCAUUUCGUAAUUUUCUCUAAGUAUCAUCUUCCCAACUUGGUCUCCAACCUUCAGUUUCAGUAAAAGGAUCUUGAUAAAAUCCGUGAAUAUGAUCCUUAAUCAACUCAUCUUCCUCAACAAGCUUCCUUCCAUCAUUCAUUUAUCAAUAAGAUUAAUUCUAAUUAGUGUUUUUAUCUCCAUUCUGCAACCACAAGCAUCUGGAUUUCUGUCUCCAACUUAUUUCUUUAGAUGUUGCAUUUUCCUCUAACGCUUUGAUAAAUUUGUUCCUUUCAACUUCUAAUUGCUCAUUGCUCUGGUUAUUUCUUAAAGCCUUUCAAAUGCUUUACUCAUCCUCACUUGUAAGUUGCUGAAUGCUUCCUUGUUCCAUUUUUUUAAAUCUGCCUUUCCAAUGCUUUACUCUUCCUCACAUCUGGUUCACCUUGUCUGUCAUAUGAUUUCCAUCAACUGUGUAUUAAAUCAACAAAUAUGCGGUGUUCAAUAUACCAAAUAUUCCCCCACUACUCCCUUGUGCUUUCAAUUCGACCAAUCUGUCCAUCUAGAACCACCAACGUAUUUGAUACAAGGUAAAUCAAUCACCUUCAUUUUGUCAAAGAUAAGUUUAUGUUUGAGCAUUUUUGAAUUUUAUAACAAAGGGAUCUGAAUUUUCUGAUUGAGUACCUAUAUUGAAAGUGCUUCCGUCUUAGCUUGUCUUACCUAGAGUUGGUCUUAUGUUUGAUUGAAGCACAACAUAUUGACUAUUAUUGAUUUAGUCGUAUUGAAUAAUAUUUUAUCUUAGGAGAUGAUAAAAUUUGGGUAUACUGUUUGCACUUUGUAUUUAAGGAUGAUUUGUGCUAAUGUCCAUUACAUUAGACUCAAGAGAUGUCUACAAGUUCAUACAUGAAUGAUAUUUCUGUAGAAUCAGAUAAGUAUGUAUAGUUAUAACUAUUAUACGAUAUGUCAAGAGAAGGUGCAUUAGGAAAGACUCUGCCAUUCCAUGGUCUAGCUCUUAGAGUUCAAUGGAACCAUUCAUGAUGAAUGUUUUUAGGAAUCCACCAGUAUUGAAUGUCCAGUUAAACUCACCCCUGGAAGGAUCAUUUUCCUAUUCCAUGACGAAAGGGAACGAUGAAAAUCAGUUUUUAGAUUAAUCCCAACCUUCAUUCCAGGUAAAUAUGAUUCACCUGGAUUGUAAAAACUUUGCCACAGGUAGUACUGAGGCUUAUCCUCGGUUGCAUCUCGAACAACAAGUUGCUUGAAUCAAGGAGUUGUGCUACUGGAUUUUGCUCAUGUCUAGUUGAAUCAGAGGACCACAUUACUCUGCCAGAACCAUUUAUAAGAGUAAGAAUUCCUUGUCUGGUAAAAUUUAGCGCACUGGCUGUGUCGUUCAGUGAAUUUUCUCCAUUACAGGUUAGAACUUGAGAAAAAAUGAGUUAUACGCUGAUUUUAGUACUACAAAAACAACUUCCUCUCAAUCCCAAGCAAGUUGUAGUAGGUGGACAGCUAGCUAAAACUAGUCAUUUUAUGAUGAAUCCUCGGAAUACUCAUAUAAAGAUGUUAAUUCACUAAAAUGUACCUGGGAGGAGCUGAUUGUAACCGUUGUGACCAGCAUGAAGUCUUGCCAACAUGCUAAUAAAUAGAGCAUUGUUAUAAGUGGCAGGCUCAGUUUGAUCAUAGUGUCUGUUCGAUCCGUGAAGUUGUCAUAGGCAUCAGGUCCACCAAUAAGAGAACGAGUAAGGAGAUUAGGAUCACUUGCCUUUCUACUAUAACCUUGCAUAGCCUUCCCGAAUGCUAACAAAACUAGAAUUCACCUUAAACGAGACAUGGAGGAAGCUCCGUGGUGUACUUGUCUUAGGUUAUUGUUUCCAUAUCCCACCCUGUAACUUGUUGCUCUCAGGUUGUCACCAAGAAUGUAGUACACGUAUAAAAACAUCAAACAUGAUGAUUAGUUUACCAAGGACACGUUGUUCUUUUUUACUUUUUCAGCAGUGACUGUAAAACUUGUAAUAUAAAUCUCCUCAUCUUGUUGAUUAUCUUUGUUUAUGCUACUAUCAUUAAGAGCUGCAAAAUAAUUGUAUGUGUUGAUGCCUUCUUCUCUUUCCAUUUGUUCAUUCUUUUUGUGCAUGGAGUCUAUUUUUUUUGUUGAAUAAGGAAACAUAUUAUUUUGUCCAAAAGUGACUAAACUUGCUGCACUAACUAGCAGGGAAAAUAUUUACAUCCAUCACAGGAGCACUAGAAAAAAUACUGGGACUUCCAUGUAUAUACAUAGAUGAAGAGUGGGCUGAAGCUAUAUUUAUCCUUCUAAGGAACUCUUCUUCUUGCUUGUCUGCACACAAAACGACCAAAGUUGAUGGAGGAGGGCUCGAAAAUGUAGUAGUCCAAACAGUAGGGGUGCUUCCUCUAUUGUAAAAAUCUAAGACUGCUAGGCUAUCUACUAAUUUGUUCUUUUCUCUGUAGACAUGGUAGACAGUAGGAUCACCCAGCCUUUGAAGGAGGCAACUGCAGUCAAAUAAAAGAGGUAAAAAGUUAGUAAAAUCAGUAUUAAUUAGAUUAACUAGCAGCUCAGCAUGCACGUUUAUUUCCAAAGGCAAAAGUUGAUGUUCCCAUGCUAAAUGUAAGCCCUUGAGCAAAGCAUGUAAUUCUGUGUCUAAGGCAUCUGCAGUGGCCACAAGGCCUGAUAAUCCCAAGAUCCAAUAUCCAACAUAAAGAAAAAAUUUGAGAUAGAGUGCCCACUUCUUCCCUGAAUGAAGCAACCUUGGAGCAUGUCAGAAAAAGGUGGGUUAUAGAUACCAUAUCACCCAAAUUACAAAGCUGACAAAUCGGUGAGGGGAUGCAAGAGAUGUGGUGAAGGUAGCAGGAGGUUGGUAGUCAUCCAUGGUGUAAUACUAGAGAUUAUUUUAUGAGUAGACCACUUCUUGCAUUGUGUGUCCAUCCCUGUUACGUCUUCUUCUGGUUGCUAAUAUUCAUCUAUUCCUCUCUUGUUCUUUUGACACUGAUUUUUAAGUUCAUGAAUGUGAUCCUCCCUUACUAUACUCUGCCAUUUAAAGUCCUUGUAAGAGGAGAAGAUUUGUAAAACGGGCCAUCUUCUAAAUAAUGUGAUUGUCCCUUACUAUACACUGCCGUUUCAAAUCUUCAGAUACAACUUUCUAAUCUGGCGGUUUAAGACAAUAAUAUCUUCGUAAGCUGCUUGCUCAUGGCUGGCGAAUUUGAUCAUGUUGCUUUCGAUAAGUUAAUUGAUCAAUUCUGCUCAAAUUCUCCCUACUUUUGUCUGUAUAGAAUGUUAAGUUUCAUUGAGUUCAGUACAGUGAUAUUAUGGUUUGCUGUGUGGCUUAUUGUGUGUUUUGACGGAAACUAGUGCAUUGUUCAAAUCAUUAUCUGUAGAGUUGGUUGGAAUGGAUCUAGAGGUAUUUGGAUGAACUAGUUGACUAGAUAAAUAUGCUAGGUUUUGUGGUCAAGAACUCAUGAUAUGUGAACAUUGUGUUGGAAAAACUCAUUUUAAUGCUAUCACACUUAGUUGUAUUAUACGAUGUUUGUAUCUUUGUCCCAACACCAAAUGUUUGUUUUGUUGAAGCAAUCAUAUGUCUUCUUUUUUUUAUUUUCCUUGUGGAAAAAUUGGAACACUUAUGUACUCAAUAAAAUGGUAAGCUUUGUAUUUCGUAGAGUAUCACAAUAAUCAAUUUAAUAUUUUUUUGUUAGGCUAACAUGAUCAAGAAGAUUGGAACAACCGUAGUUAGCACAAAUAAAAAGAAGUGGAUAUGUUUGAAAAAACUACAAGAUAUUUAUUUUCUUUCAAAAGGAGGAAAAUUUCGUGUUCAUAGUUCCUUUUUUUAUGAUCUCUGAUGCAGCUUCAUAGCAUUAAUGUGCAGCUUCAUAACAUGUAUUUGUUUUGCCAUUCUAUGGCCAAGUUGUAAGUAAUGUAGUUCAUCAGACAGAGCAUUGUUCACAUUGAUAUUUGCGAGAAGCCUUUUACCUUGUUGCCCCUUCUGACCCUUAUUACUGCUCCAGCUCCUCCAGCCUAGUUGUGGGAUAAAAAGACCCGAGAACAAUCAGUUUAAGGCCCCUAUCAGCAGGUUCCCAUUUAAUAAAUUCUUUACCUUUCCUCUUUUUGCUAUUCGUGAAGCCUAUGUAGAAAUAUUUCAUUGCUCUGUCUGUAGGUAAUCCUAAUGGAAUGGCUUCUUUCUUGUCAGUAUGGUAGUUGCUGUUUCUAUUUAGCCAUUAUGUUCCAGAUGUAAAGGGAAAUGUGAAUUCCCAUUUCACUACGUUUUUGUUUUUGGACUUUAUUUGAAGUUUAUUAUAGUUACUCAUACACACAAUAUCAGUGGAGUUCCUUUUCAAAUACAUCUACUGUUGUUGCAUUAUGCUUUCUCUUUUUCAGGUUUUACUGGAAUGACUUCUUUCUUGUCAUUAUGGUAGUUGUUGUUUCAGUUAGCCAUAUGUUCCAGAUGUAAAAGGGAAAUGCAAAUUUCCAUUCCACUACGUUGUUAGAUUGCUGACUCUGUAUAUUCUUUAAAGCCAAUUCCUUAAUAUGUUUACUUUUAGAAAAAUUCAAUUAGUCAUUUUUGAUAUCCCAAUUUGUUCUAGCUAUUGCAGAUCUAAUUUCUAUUAUUAUAUAGUUACAAAUUUUUUUAUGUGCAUUUCUUGUGCAGAAUUUAUAAGGAAAUUGAGGUCAAGUAUCGACUUCAACAUGCUCGACUUUUGGAUUGAUGAUUUCAUAAAGAUUUAUUGCAAAUUUACUGGAGAUUUUAAUUUCAUUUUAAUUAGGAGUUAGUUAGCUGGUUUAUGUUGAGAUUAUUACUUGAGAUAGAACAGAUAAUUUGUUUCGACAUUGUUUACUUUUACAUAAAACAUAUUAUAUUGGUAUUUUGUUCUUUGAUUA
Molecule: RNA transcript, 9025 nt
Organism: Solanum pennellii
Lineage: Eukaryota; Viridiplantae; Streptophyta; Magnoliopsida; Solanales; Solanaceae
Exons: 10
Source: RefSeq, a predicted model, not a curated record